UACAGAGGGUGCAAGCGUUAAUCGGAAUUACUGGGCGUAAAGCGCGCGUAGGUGGUUCGUUAAGUUGGAUGUGAAAUCCCCGGGCUCAACCUGGGAACUGCAUUCAAAACUGUCGAGCUAUAGUAUGGUAGAGGGUGGUGGAAUUUCCUGUGUAGCGGUGAAAUGCGUAGAUAUAGGAAGGAACACCAGUGGCGAAGGCGACCACCUGGACUGAUACUGACACUGAGGUGCGAAAGCGUGGGGAGCAAACAGG
This 253-nucleotide ribosomal RNA is filed under the name uncultured bacterium. RNAcentral's name for it is "partial 16S ribosomal RNA". It matches the Rfam family "Bacterial small subunit ribosomal RNA", at positions 524 to 776 of the family's 1533-position model. The record is from RNAcentral.